Molecule: ribosomal RNA, 564 nt
Filed under: Triticum aestivum (bread wheat)
Lineage: Eukaryota; Viridiplantae; Streptophyta; Magnoliopsida; Poales; Poaceae
Description: partial small subunit ribosomal RNA
Source: RNAcentral
AUGGUAGAUUUGUUUGGCCCACCACCUCUUUUGGUUAAUGGAACUAUUUUAACUUUGGAACAUGUGAUGCAAAGGAUUGAAAUUAUUGAAAAUAAAGUUGCCUCUGUGGAGUUGAUUGAAAAUUUUGAUAAGAAGAUCCACAACCAAAUCACCCAAUAUGGAUCUAAGGUAGGAGUUACUCUGAAUUUUUUUAAAGAAAAAGAACCUAUAGUUAACAAAAGAAUAGAUCAAGAUUCCACAAGAAUUGGUAAACUUGAGGAUAUUAUUACCAAUUUAUGCUCUUCCUUUUCGUCCAUGAAAAAUACUCCAAAUCCUCCUACCAUCAAAAUUGCCAAAUUAAUGUAUGUUCCUAAAAAUAAUGGUGAAUCUUCUAGUAAGGAAAAUGCGGAUCUCAAAUCAAUAAGUGUUCACCCCAACUUCUUCGCUAUCAUUAAUGAACCUUUUGAUACAAAUGAAUUUCUUGAUUUCUUGCCUAGGAGUUUGAUCAUUAAUAAAAAGAAGGAAACUCCCAAGGGUUAUAUGUGUUCUAUUAAAAAAUUUCCUACCAAAUAUGAUAAUACGUAG